GGGGCCUGCGGAAGGAUCAUUACAGAAUGAAAAGUGCUUAACUGCAUUUUUUCUUACACAUGUGUUUUUCUUUUUUUGAAAACUUUGCUUUGGUAGGCCUUCUAUAUGGGGCCUGCCAGAGAUUAAACUCAACCAAAUUUUAUUUAAUGUCAACCGAUUAUUUAAUAGUCAAAACUUUCAACAACGGAUCUCUUGGUUCUCGCAUCGAUGAAGAACGCAGCGAAAUGCGAUAAGUAAUAUGAAUUGCAGAUAUUCGUGAAUCAUCGAAUCUUUGAACGCACAUUGCGCCCUUUGGUAUUCCAAAGGGCAUGCCUGUUUGAGCGUCAUUUCUCCCUCAAACCCUCGGGUUUGGUGUUGAGCGAUACGCUGGGUUUGCUUGAAAGAAAGGCGGAGUAUAAACUAAUGGAUAGGUUUUUUCCACUCAUUGGUACAAACUCCAAAACUUCUUCCAAAUUCGACCUCAAAUCAGGUAGGACUACCCGCUGAACUUAAGCAUAUCAAAA
RNAcentral lists this ribosomal RNA (503 nucleotides) under Lodderomyces parapsilosis. Its description in RNAcentral is "eukaryotic LSU rRNA". The stretch from base 173 to 326 matches the Rfam family "5.8S ribosomal RNA". Lineage: Eukaryota; Fungi; Ascomycota; Pichiomycetes; Serinales; Debaryomycetaceae. The record is from RNAcentral.